AGUGAACGCUGGCGGUAGGCCUAACACAUGCAAGUCGAACGGCAGCACACUAAGAGCUUGCUCUUACGGGUGGCGAGUGGCGGACGGGUGAGGAACACAUCGGAAUCUACUUUUUCGUGGGGGAUAACGUAGGGAAACUUACGCUAAUACCGCAUACGACCUACGGGUGAAAGCAGGGGAUCUUCGGACCUUGCGCGAUUGAAUGAGCCGAUGUCGGAUUAGCUAGUUGGCGGGGUAAAGGCCGACCAAGGCGACGAUCCGUAGCUGGUCUGAGAGGAAGGGCGGCGGAACUGGGAUGGGGACAAGGGCGAGAGUACUGAGGGAGGCAGCAGUGGGGGGUAGUGGACAGGGGGCGGAAGGCUGAUGCAGAGAGGUCGCGAGAGGGAGGGAGGCCUUCGGGUUGGGAACCUCGUGCUCCGGGGGUGAAGGCCCCGCCCUUGGUGGUGGGGUUGACGGUAGCGGGGUAUGAAGCGCCGGCUAACUACGUG
This 488-nucleotide ribosomal RNA is filed under the name uncultured bacterium. Its description in RNAcentral is "partial 16S ribosomal RNA". It matches the Rfam family "Bacterial small subunit ribosomal RNA", at positions 30 to 507 of the family's 1533-position model. The record is from RNAcentral.